Molecule: long non-coding RNA, 2808 nt
Organism: Gasterosteus aculeatus aculeatus (three-spined stickleback)
Lineage: Eukaryota; Metazoa; Chordata; Actinopteri; Perciformes; Gasterosteidae
Source: Ensembl
GCUAAGUGUGGGAUUGUGAAGCUGCUAACAAUGACUUCCCUGAUGGAUAAUCACACAUUUUGACACCUCACAAUGGUCUAUUGCCCAAGUCGGCUUGUUGUGUCUCAUUUCUGUGAGACAAAGAAAAGCUGCAAAUCUUUACAUUUCAGAAGCUCCAAUAGGGGAACGUUUGGGAUUUAAAAACUAAAAGAUAAUUGAAAUUAGGUAUCAGUUAGGUUUUCGCCAUCCAUUUAUUUCAAACAUAACCUUUUCAAGCAUACCCUCAGAGUGUGAUUUGACCACAUUUCAGCUACAGCCUCGACAGCUCUCUAUUUUGCAUUAAAUACAUGCAGCUGUCGAGGGCUGUAACCUUGAAACAGCGGUAAAGCGAUGAAAGAAGAAGAAGUGGGCGCAGUUUUCGGUUUUUCGUGAAAAUGAUUCAUUCCCACUUGUGCCCUGCGAUGGCGUGAAGCUGAAUAUUUGGGGGGAACGUUGGACAGCACGCCUCACGCUCUCCCUCUAUCUGUCCAUCUGUCCAUGUCCCUCUCCGUGUCUCAGUCUGCAGCCCGGCUUUGCUGCACGGUGACCUUAACAGAAGUGAGCCUUCUUCUGGCUCGUCCUCUGCAUUGCCCUCAGGAAAUGCAGCACUGCUCACUCUGCAGGCAGCAGCAGUAAGGGUGGGGUGGGGUGAGCUGGCGCCGGUCCCACUCUUCUUGUGAACGAACACACACACACACACACACACAGACACACACUCUCUCUCCUGAGUGCUGUGAGGCUUCACUGGACCGUAAUAGUCCAGAGUAUCGCACCAGUUAGUUUUCUCUCUGCGUUGCUGUCGUCCACUUACCUGUGUGCACACACAAACGCAGGGAAUCAAAUGGAAUAAUCCUGUAAAGCAGCUGAGGACUUUUUAGCAAACAAUAGUCAAACAGGUUUUAAUUUUUAAUCAUUUCAAGGACUAUUUUUAGCUUUGAACAUUGGGUGAUGCAGGAAUGGCUAAAAAUCAACUGCAGUAACCAACCUUAUGGUCAUAAAGCUUGACAGGUGAAACAUGGAAACAUUCCUGGUUCUUUUGAUGGAUGUGUUUACAUACUGUAACAAAAAGCAAUAAAAUCACCAGACAUAAAGUAUACAGUAGAUUAGAAAGCUUGCACACUUCCUGGUGGAAGUCUAUUGGUUUCUUUUGGGAGGAAUACAAACUUGAGCUGUUGUCUUGGUAAUUCCUGGUCUGCGUGUUGGACUAAUUGACUAAUCGGUCAGCUGUGCGUUGUAAUCAAGGAACGAGUGUUUGAAGGCGUUCUGUGGCUGCAUGUGUGCAUACCCUCAGAUGCCCGCUAGUCCACCUCUAACAUAUAAAGUGAGCUUUCAAUAACAAUGUGCAGAAUAGCUUUGACAGCACUUUUGGAUCUCCGAUGCUUGAGCAAAGCCCUUGGGCCUAAACACUAACCCACCUCUAUAGGUCCAAGCCCACCCGCCUCUUUUAGCCCCCCCAAUCGCCUCUCUAUGGCACCAUUUCCUCUUUGCAUUACCUCCAUCAGGCCUGGCUGCUGACACACUUGUUUAAUAAUUAAGGGCACCUCCAUAAUUUUCUCAUCCUUGUGGAAGUCCACAAAUGGUCUCUGUGAAAGUCGGGCCAGUUAAAUGUACCUCUUUAGCUCGCGCCACAGCAGCCCCACAUCUGUUUAGCGGUCCGGAGGAGAUGAGACAAUCCAGGGAAGGUGUGGCUGGAAGGAUCAGACGGAAUCCGUUCCUCCUGAUUUACCCACUCUUAUCAGUUCAUCCAAUUUCCAUUGACAUCACACAUCCUGUGGUGGAGCGCCUGCCACACACUGUAUCCAGUCCAUCAGUCAAUAGUUGUUGAGACACACUCAAAAAGACAAGAAGGAAAGGAAGGAAAAGUCAGAGGACUUUGCCGAGCCAAUCGUCCUUCUGGUAGAUCCCACGUUUUCUCUUUGGCAUCAAAAAGUAUUAUUUACCACAACUUACUGGACUGAAAAGAGUCUGUAAGUCAGCACAUAGGUUCUUUUGGUAAAUCAACCUCCUAGUUAACACUUAAAUAGCACAAAUAGCCAAAUUCAGUCCUUUUCGUCUUGCAUUCCAUUCGAUUGCGUCCGAGACUGAGUGGCUGUGAGGCGGGUUUAAAGGAACAUCUAGAGCGGUUACACGAAAGAUCACUGGAAGAUCAGAUGUUUUGGCUUCACGCACCACCGAGCAACUGGAGCACACCUCCGAAACCCCGUUAUGUCUGCACAUCCAUGCUGGGGACCACGACCGCUUACGUGCAGAACAUUAUAACAAUGUUUUCCUCCCGUCGUUAUCAGCUGUAACCGCUGCAUGAGAACUAACAAGUGGGGCACGUGCACCAAUAUGUACGAGAAACGUGCAAGGGGAAGCUCAAGUAGCAACACAGACAGGGAGAGAAUGACUUCAUUUUGUGCUCAGGGAGACACAACACUGUUUCUCCUUCGCUGUCACCUCAUUGCUUCCUUCCUGCCAUCUCUCUGGCCGUGGUGGAAUCUGUUAUCAAGUCUCGGAGCCUGGAUGCGUCCUUGUGGUAUCGGGCGAUGUGGAUCUCAGCUUACACCCCCCCCCCCCCCUGCUCGGUGUGCAGCGUCAGCGGGCUCGUCUGGGGGAGAAAACUCGGAACUUAACAUCAACGACAAAAGCACCACGGUGACCUUCGCGCUUCAAUUACGUCGACGAGAUCCGCUUGCUGAGCGCCAACAAAGGUCAACGUAGUGAUGGAAGAAGUUCAGAAUUACUGAUGCUCUUUUGGAAUAUUAGUUUGAAGAUUCAUGCCCAUGUCUGUUUAUUAAAUAUAUAUUA